Molecule: transfer RNA, 73 nt
Filed under: Rhipicephalus microplus (southern cattle tick)
Lineage: Eukaryota; Metazoa; Arthropoda; Arachnida; Ixodida; Ixodidae
Description: tRNA-Lys
Rfam family: tRNA
About the family: Transfer RNA (tRNA) molecules are approximately 80 nucleotides in length.
Source: Rfam by way of RNAcentral
GCCCGGGUAGCUCAGUAGGUAGAGCGUUAGGCUUUUAACCUAGUGGUCCAGGGUUCGAGCCCCUGCUUUGGCG